AAAUUGUUCUCCUGGUUCUGUUCACUCACUUUCUAUCAGAACGUAGAAAUCUCCCAAGAUUUCUUUCAAACUUUCCAUUUCAUAAUAUUUACAUACCCAGACUUGUUCAGCCAUCUCCAAAUUGAAGGGUGGCUAAUUCUUUGCUAUCUUAAGAAAGUUAUAAAUAUUUUUGUACAUACUUAGAGAGUUUUUCCUUAUAAUUAAUUCCUCCCUUAAUCUGUCCUUUUAAUUAUCCCUUCCUCUUUCUCCUCUUUCCCUCUCUUUUUUGAGUGAAAUAUAUUUCUGUACCCAACUGUUUCUAUGUGUAUUAUUCCAUCAUUUUACUAUUUUAGAUGAGAUGAAAGCUGACUGAUUCCUCUUUCCAUUAUUUUCUUAAGAUCAUUAAUAUACAACAGAAUCACUUCCAAGCCUUGCCUAUUUAGGCUCCUGUGAGAGAAUAAUAUUGGAGAACAACCUGCAAACAGAUGCAAUGGAUGGAACUUUGAAGAGCUGUCCAUCAAGGAGCAUUCCAGAGGACAAUGUGACCUGGAGAAGUCAGUUAAAAGAAACACCCAAACUGCUGGAAAAAAAUCUCUCUUUCUCCUGGCACUUGAAGGAGGAAGAACUGAGAAGCUCCUUUCCUUGUUGGUUACUGAUUUUCUCUCUACAUUUUUACACAGCUCUGAUCUUUUCAUCAGGGAUGUUUGGAAGUCUUUUAUUUUAUUGAUGAUCUAUUUUUUCCCCUCCUGUAACAUUUUACUCAGUUUUGCUGGGUAAGUUAUUCUUAGGUAUAAUACCCUUAUUGUUUAUCUUCUGCAAUAUCAUAUUCCAAAAAAUCUGCUCCUUUAUAGUGUUAUGGUGGCAGGUGUAUAGUGUACAGAUAGGUGUAUAGUGGUUAUAUGUUAUAGUGGUAGGUGCCCAUAUCACGUGUGAUCUUAUGAUCUCUUAGUAUAUGGAUUAUUUCUUUCUGGUUGUCUGUAGUAUUUUUUCUUUGAUUUGGAAACUCUGGAUUUUGACUAUGAUGUUCUUUAAAAUUUCAUUUUAAAGUCUCUUUCAGGGGGCAACCUGGGGGAUCCUUUUUAUUUCUACUUUUCCCUCUGGUUCGAAGUUGUUUCUUUUUAAGAUGUCUUGAAAUAUAAUAUGUUGGCUCUCUUUUUGGGUUGUGGUGUUCAAAUAGUCCAAAUUUUUUCAGAUUCUUAAUUUUUUCUUCCUCAUUCUGUUUUCCAGGUCAGUUGUUUAUAUAAUGAAGUACCAUAUUUUCUUCUAAAUUUUCAGUCUUUUGACUUUGCUUUAAUGGUUCUUCUUGUCUAAUUGAAUUAUUGGAUUCUAUUUGGUCCUUUCUAAUUUGGGGGGGAUUUCUUGCUUGGG
RNAcentral lists this long non-coding RNA (1347 nucleotides) under Monodelphis domestica (gray short-tailed opossum). RNAcentral's name for it is "lncRNA (ENSMODG00000034386.2)". Lineage: Eukaryota; Metazoa; Chordata; Mammalia; Didelphimorphia; Didelphidae. The record is from RNAcentral.